UGAGGAAUAUUGGUCAAUGGGCGCAAGCCUGAACCAGCCAUGCCGCGUGCAGGAAGACGGUCCUAUGGAUUGUAAACUGCUUUUAUUUUGGAAUAAACCUCUUUACGUGUAGAGAGCUGCAGGUACCAAAUGAAUAAGCACCGGCUAACUCCGUGCCAGCAGCCGCGGUAAUACGGAGGGUGCAAGCUUUAUCCGGAAUCAUUGUGUUUAAAGGGUCAGCAGGCGGUCUUAUAAGUCAGUGGUGAAAGCCUACAGCUCAACUGUAGAACUGCCAUUGAUACUGUAAGACUUGAAUUCGAUCGAAGUGGGCGGAAUAUGAAAUGUAGCGGUUAGAUGCUGAGAUAUGUCAUAGAACAGCGAUAGCGAAGGAAGCUCAAUAGGUGUGGAUUGACGGUCAGGGACGAAAUCGUGGGGAGAAAGUA
RNAcentral lists this ribosomal RNA (422 nucleotides) under uncultured bacterium. Its description in RNAcentral is "bacterial SSU rRNA". It matches the Rfam family "Bacterial small subunit ribosomal RNA", at positions 355 to 774 of the family's 1533-position model. The record is from RNAcentral.